CCCAGGCUUGGGGCGGGAGGAGAGGGGUCCAGGGCCGCUGUCUCCAGACCCUGGGGAAUCACUGUCCGGGAAGAGACAGAGCUCCGGGGUGCACCAAGGAUGCACACGCCACUUGUUGGAGAUCACGCAGUCCCUGUUGAGGGUCCUGGCAAGGCAAGGCCUGGCUCCUCUCUGGUCCUCUGAGGGCCACCUGCCCCGGCAAGGGUGCCUCUGUGGCAAUCACGGGAUUAGGGAGGCAGACAAAACGUGAUGGAGACAGAAUGUAACAAUGCCAGAAAGGAAGCACAAGGGUGCCCAGAGGGCACUCAGCAGAAAGCCUGGCAUCAGAAAGGCUGUGAUUAUUCCCGGCAUGUGGGAAUUACAGACCAGUUUCUGUGGGACUCCAGAGGAGUUCCCUAGAGAAGAGUGUGACCAUCGCAGGCGCUUGGAAAGGGCCAGGACCUGGAGGAACGUCAUGGGCCAUCCUCCUUGGGCACCCCUCUUGUGUCCACCCACAGCGAGACUUGCCCGGACACCCUCUCCGCCGGCCCCACUUCUGCUGAUGCCCAUUCUUCGCCUCAACUAACAGCACCCUCUGCAUUUGCUGGCUCCUUUGAUUCUUCUCCAAGCCCCAGUGAGUCCGGAAUUCACAAGUCCCCCAUCACGGCGAUGGCUAGUUGUGGAGUCCUAGCCUUUUGUCGAAAUGGGGGCGUCCAACCAAGUGCAGACAGCUACUCACACAUCACUUGGGGUGGACUCAGUCCUCCCUACAACUUCUGUGUUCCACGUCCAUCCGCGGCUUCUCCGGGGCGGUUGACGACUGGACACAUUGCAGGC
Molecule: long non-coding RNA, 816 nt
Filed under: Suricata suricatta (meerkat)
Lineage: Eukaryota; Metazoa; Chordata; Mammalia; Carnivora; Herpestidae
Description: lncRNA (ENSSSUG00005002553.1)
Source: RNAcentral